RNAcentral lists this ribosomal RNA (517 nucleotides) under uncultured bacterium. Its description in RNAcentral is "bacterial SSU rRNA". It matches the Rfam family "Bacterial small subunit ribosomal RNA", at positions 46 to 556 of the family's 1533-position model. The record is from RNAcentral.
GCUAACCCAUGCAAGUCGAGGGGCAUCACGAUGUAGCAAUACGUUGGUGGCGACCGGCGCACGGGUGAGUAACGCGUAUGCAACCUGCCUUUUACAGGAGGAUAGCUUCCGGAAACGGAAAUUAAUACUCCAUACGACAUUACCGGGGCAUCCUGGUAAUUUGAAAACUACGGUGGUAAAAGAUGGGCAUGCGUAACAUUAGUUAGUUGGUGAGGUAACGGCUCACCAAGGCUACGAUGUUUAGGGGUCCUGAGAGGGUCCACCCCCACACUGGUACUGAGACACGGACCAGACUCCUACGGGAGGCAGCAGUGAGGAAUAUUGGUCAAUGGGCGGAAGCCUGAACCAGCCAUCCCGCGCGCAGGAAGACAGCCCUAUGGGUUGUAAACUGCUUUUCUGAGGGAAGAAUAAUUCCGAGUUUCUCGGGAGAUGCCGGUACCUCAGGAAUAAGCAUCGGCUAACUCCGUGCCAGCAGCCGCGGUAAUACGGAGGAUGCAAGCGUUAUCCGGAUUCAUUG